This 160-nucleotide ribosomal RNA is filed under the name uncultured bacterium. RNAcentral describes it as "partial 16S ribosomal RNA". It matches the Rfam family "Bacterial small subunit ribosomal RNA", at positions 355 to 507 of the family's 1533-position model. The record is from RNAcentral.
UGGGGAAUUUUGGACAAUGGGCGCAAGCCUGAUCCAGCCAUGCCGCGUGAGUGAAGAAGGCCUUCGGGUUGUAAAGCUCUUUCGGACGGAAAGAAAUCCUAUCCGCUAAUACCGGGUGGGGAUGACGGUACCGUAAGAAGAAGCACCGGCUAACUACGUG